CUAGUAACUGCGAGUGAAGCGGGAAGAGCUCAAAUUUAAAAUCUGGCGUCUUCGGCGUCCGAGUUGUAAUUUAGAGAAGCGUUUUCCGCGCCGGACCGUGUACAAGUCUCCUGGAACGGAGCGUCAUAGAGGGUGAGAAUCCCGUCUUUGACACGGACCCCCGGUGCUCUGUGAUACGCUCUCGAAGAGUCGAGUUGUUUGGGAAUGCAGCUCAAAAUGGGUGGUGAACUCCAUCUAAAGCUAAAUAUUGGCGAGAGACCGAUAGCGAACAAGUACCGUGAGGGAAAGAUGAAAAGCACUUUGGAAAGAGAGUGAAACAGUACGUGAAAUUGUUGAAAGGGAAACGCUUGAAGUCAGUCGCGUCCGCCGGGAUUCAGCCUCACGGUGUACUUCCUGGUGGACGGGCCAGCAUCACUUUUGAUCAUCGGAAAAGGGCGAGAGGAAUGUGGCACCUCCGGGUGUGUUAUAGCCUCUUGUCGUAUACGGUGACCGGGAGUGAGGACCGCCUUUGUAGGAUGCUGGCGUAAUGGCUUUAAACGACCCGUCUUGAAACACGGACCAAGGAGUCUAACAUGCCCGCGAGUGUUCGGGUGGAAAACCCGUGCGCGUAAUGAAAGUGAAAGUUGGGAAGGCUGUCGUGGCCUGCACCGACGCCCGGACUUGAGAUUUAUCGAAGGUUCUGCGGUAGAGCGUGUAUGUUGGGACCCGAAAGAUGGUGAACUAUGCCUGAAUAGGGUGAAGCCAGAGGAAACUCUGGUGGAGGCUCGUAGCGAUUCUGACGUGCAAAUCGAUCGUCAAAUUUGGGUAUAGGG
This 812-nucleotide ribosomal RNA is filed under the name Peniophora sp. 075 TSG-2012. RNAcentral's name for it is "eukaryotic LSU rRNA". It matches the Rfam family "Eukaryotic large subunit ribosomal RNA", at positions 80 to 922 of the family's 3401-position model. Lineage: Eukaryota; Fungi; Basidiomycota; Agaricomycetes; Russulales; Peniophoraceae. The record is from RNAcentral.